RNAcentral lists this ribosomal RNA (253 nucleotides) under uncultured bacterium. Its description in RNAcentral is "partial 16S ribosomal RNA". It matches the Rfam family "Bacterial small subunit ribosomal RNA", at positions 524 to 776 of the family's 1533-position model. The record is from RNAcentral.
UACGUAGGGGGCGAGCGUUGUCCGGAUUUAUUGGGCGUAAAGAGCGUGUAGGCGGCUUGGCAAGUCCGCUGUGAAAACUCGAGGCUUAACCUCGAGACGUCGGUGGAAACUGCCUCGCUAGAGUCCGGAAGAGGAGAGUGGAAUUCCUGGUGUAGCGGUGAAAUGCGCAGAUAUCAGGAAGAACACCCGUGGCUAAGGCGGCUCUCUAGUACGGUACUGACGCUGAGACGCGAAAGCGUGGGGAGCGAACAGG